Molecule: transfer RNA, 84 nt
Filed under: Candidatus Choladousia intestinigallinarum
Lineage: Bacteria; Bacillati; Bacillota; Clostridia; Lachnospirales; Lachnospiraceae
Description: tRNA-Leu
Rfam family: tRNA
About the family: Transfer RNA (tRNA) molecules are approximately 80 nucleotides in length.
Source: RNAcentral
GCGGGUAUGGUGGAAUAGGCAGACACAAGAGACUUAAAAUCUCUCGGGAGCGAUCCCGUGCCGGUUCAAGUCCGGCUACCCGCA